UUGCCCGAGUGCCUGUUGAAGAAUGAGCCGGCGAGUCAUAGGCAGUGGCUUGGUUAAGGGAACGGAACCCACCGGAGCCGUAGCGAAAGCGAGUCUUAAUAGGG
This is a long non-coding RNA of Triticum dicoccoides, 104 nucleotides long. RefSeq lists it as uncharacterized. Lineage: Eukaryota; Viridiplantae; Streptophyta; Magnoliopsida; Poales; Poaceae. The record is from RefSeq and is a predicted model, not a curated record. The transcript is spliced from 3 exons.